RNAcentral lists this ribosomal RNA (691 nucleotides) under Irpex lacteus. RNAcentral describes it as "eukaryotic LSU rRNA". The stretch from base 280 to 433 matches the Rfam family "5.8S ribosomal RNA". The record is from RNAcentral. Lineage: Eukaryota; Fungi; Basidiomycota; Agaricomycetes; Polyporales; Irpicaceae.
UUUCGGAAGUUCAAAAAUCGUAACAAGGUUUCCGUAGGUGAACCUGCGGAAGGAUCAUUAUCGAGUUUUGAACGGGUUGUAGCUGGCCUCUCACGAGGCAUGUGCACGCCUGGCUCAUCCACUCUUAACCUCUGUGCACUUUAUGUAAGAGAAAAAAAUGGUGGAAGCUUCCAGGAUCUCGCGAGAGGUCUUCGGUUGAACAAGCCGUUUUUCUUUCUUAUGUUUUACUACAAACGCUUCAGUUAUAGAAUGUCAACUGUGUAUAACACAUUUAUAUACAACUUUCAGCAACGGAUCUCUUGGCUCUCGCAUCGAUGAAGAACGCAGCGAAAUGCGAUAAGUAAUGUGAAUUGCAGAAUUCAGUGAAUCAUCGAAUCUUUGAACGCACCUUGCACUCCUUGGUAUUCCGAGGAGUAUGCCUGUUUGAGUCUCAUGGUUUUCUCAACCCCUAAAUUUUUGUAAUGAAGGUUUAGCGGGCUUGGACUUGGAGGUUGUGUCGGCCCUUGUCGGUCGACUCCUCUGAAAUGCAUUAGCGUGAAUCUUACGGAUCGCCUUCAGUGUGAUAAUUAUCUGCGCUGCGGUGUUGAAGUAUUUAUGGUGUUCAUGCUUCGAACCGUCUCCUUGCCGAGACAAUCAUUUGACAAUCUGAGCUCAAAUCAGGUAGGACUACCCGCUGAACUUAAGCAUAUCA